AAACCUCAGUCACGUUACUGUCCAAACAUUUUUCCUUCCGGUUCAGUUUCUGCUUCUGUCAAUCUCGUGCAGGAUCUGGGAGUGAUAUGCUGUGCUACUACAUCACUAUAACAAGAGUUUCAAGUGCUGGCCUGUAUUCAUUAGAAUGUGUGCAAGCAUUUUUGGCAGUGUUAGGUUAAUAGA
Sebastes umbrosus (honeycomb rockfish) is the source of this 183-nucleotide long non-coding RNA. RefSeq lists it as uncharacterized. Lineage: Eukaryota; Metazoa; Chordata; Actinopteri; Perciformes; Sebastidae. The transcript is spliced from 3 exons. The record is from RefSeq and is a predicted model, not a curated record.